Molecule: ribosomal RNA, 459 nt
Filed under: uncultured bacterium
Lineage: Bacteria
Description: partial 16S ribosomal RNA
Rfam family: Bacterial small subunit ribosomal RNA
Source: RNAcentral
CCUACGGGAGGCAGCAGUGAGGAAUCUUCGUCAAUGGGCGCGAGCCUGAACCAGCCAAGUCGCGUGAGGGAAGACGGUCCUCUGAAUUGUAAACCUCUUUUGUCGGGGAGCAAAAGUCGCCACGCGUGGCGUUCCGAGAGUACCCGAAGAAUAAGCAUCGGCUAACUCCGUCCCAGCAGCCGCGGUAAUACGGAGGAUGCGAGCGUUAUCCGGAUUUGUUGGGUUUAAAGGGUGCGCAGGCGGAAGCUUAAGUCAGCGGGUAAAUGGAGAGGCUUAACCUCUUCGAGCCGUUGAAACUGGUUUUCUUGAGUGAGCGAGAGGUGUGUGGAAUGCGUGGUGGAGCGGUGAAAGGCAUAGAUAUAACGCAGAACUCCGAUUGCGAAGGCAGCAUACCGGCGCGCAACUGACGCUCAUGCACGAAAGUGUGGGUAUCGAACAGGAUUAGAUACCCUCGUAGUC